Amphimedon queenslandica is the source of this 156-nucleotide long non-coding RNA. RefSeq lists it as uncharacterized. The transcript has 3 exons. The record is from RefSeq and is a predicted model, not a curated record. NCBI's taxonomy places the organism in Eukaryota, Metazoa, Porifera, Demospongiae, Haplosclerida, Niphatidae.
ACAAUACUACAAAGAAGUGAGACAUGCUGUCUGGAACAUGAUGUGCUCUACUAGCUUCAUUUGGCUCCUGAACUGAUUCUGUGUCCUCUGGUUGGAGUCUUAUUUUGGAAAUGGAGAGACUGAUAUAAUCUGCCCUGCUAACUGUGAUGGCCAGUC